GUCCAUCCCUCUCUUGACUACAUACCGUGUGUGAGUGUGUGUGUGUGUCCAUCCCUCUCUCGACUACAUACCGUGUGUGUGUGUGUGUGUGUGUGUGUGUGUGUGUGUGUCCGUCCAUCCAUCCAUCCCUCUCUUGACUACAUACCGUGUGUGAGUGUGUGUGUGUGUCCAUCCCUCUCUCGACUACAUACCGUGUGUGUGUGUGUGUGUGUGUGUGUGAGUGUGUGUGUGUCCAUCCAUCCGUCCCUCUCUUGACUACAUACCGUGUGUGUGUGUGUGUGUGUGUGUGUGUGUGUCCAUCCAUCCAUCCCUCUCUUGACUACAUACCCUGUGUGUGUGUGUGUGUGUGUGUGUGUGUGAGAGAGAGAGAGAGAGAGAGUCCCUCUCUUGUCUACAUACCAUGAGAGAGAGAGAGAGAGAGUCCCUCUCUUGUCUACAUACCGUGUGUGAGAGUGUGUGUGUGUGUGUGUGUCCAUCCAUCCAUCCCUCUCUUGACUACAUACCGUGUGUGUGUGUGUGUGUGUGUGUGUGUGUGUGUGUGUGUUGUCCCUCUCUUGUCUACAUACCGUGUGUGUGUGUGUGUGUGUGUGUGUGUGUGUGUGUGUGUGUGUGUGUCCAUCCCUCUCUCGACUACAUACCGUGUGUGUGUGUGUGUGUGUGUGUGUGUGUCCGUCCAUCCCUCUCUUGACUACAUACC
This 697-nucleotide long non-coding RNA is filed under the name Cricetulus griseus (Chinese hamster). RNAcentral describes it as "lncRNA (ENSCGRG00015041360.1)". The record is from RNAcentral. Lineage: Eukaryota; Metazoa; Chordata; Mammalia; Rodentia; Cricetidae.